Long non-coding RNA from Triticum dicoccoides, 572 nucleotides. RefSeq lists it as uncharacterized. The transcript has 3 exons. NCBI's taxonomy places the organism in Eukaryota, Viridiplantae, Streptophyta, Magnoliopsida, Poales, Poaceae. The record is from RefSeq and is a predicted model, not a curated record.
GAUGAAUAAACGCCUGCAGCUAGGUGGUGUGCAUGGGUCAAGUCUCAAGACCCAUAUAUGUCCAACUGUGUAGGUCUGCAUAUAUGAUUGAUCUAUGGUGCACACCAAGUUAUUCCACAAAAACGUGGCCAAGGAUGAAUCUACGACAUAUGGUGACAGGCAUGGCCUUCUUUGUCUUCGUGGAGCUAGCAGAAAUCUGUUUCUGAUCAAUGAAAGACAAUGCAAACAUUUACUGUAAGUUUUUAUGAGUGUAGAUGCUAUUUUUUACUACGAUUUUAAGACCAAUGGCCGAUCUAAUCUUAUUAGUACUGGUAGUUUCACCCAUGGUGCUUUUGCCUUCUAUAUGUGUCGAAUUAAGAAAAUAGAAAUUUUCAGGAGAUGAUGUGAGUUUGCAAACAACUACUCACGGUAUUAGUAAAUCAUUGCAUUCUAUUAGUAAUGCUUCUCUUAGUACAUAACAAAAUUAUUUUGGGGAGUGACAUAAUGUGUCUCUCUCUUUCUGUUGAUAUUAAUGGGUGAGUUUUAGUAAAAUCUUCAGGUUUGCAUGGUGAGAUGCAUUGUCUUCAGAAAAG